UACGAGGGAAAUGAUGUUUGGACCAAAUGAUAUUAAUUUGGUUGUUGUAAUCAAUUAGAAAUGUUGUGUUUAAAUGAUAUGGUUAAGUAUUUUUAUUUAUUUUGAUAUAUGAUGUAUGUGUUGUUUAUUCAAACCUGUCACCAAUGUCCGUUUUGUGAUAUCUGGUUUCUUGUUGGAAAGUGUUAUUGUUUUUAAGUGUGUUUAAAUUGGGGUGAUGUUUGUUGUUAAC
This 229-nucleotide long non-coding RNA is filed under the name Lathyrus oleraceus (garden pea). RNAcentral's name for it is "Pisum sativum (pea) long non-coding RNA (PSAT_LNC020237)". Lineage: Eukaryota; Viridiplantae; Streptophyta; Magnoliopsida; Fabales; Fabaceae. The record is from RNAcentral.